RNAcentral lists this long non-coding RNA (2810 nucleotides) under Sus scrofa (pig). RNAcentral describes it as "lncRNA (ENSSSCG00000059850.1)". Lineage: Eukaryota; Metazoa; Chordata; Mammalia; Artiodactyla; Suidae. The record is from RNAcentral.
CUAAUCAGAGUUUAGGGAGUGGAGGGAUCCUAGGUUGGCAGAGAAGUAAUUCAAGUAAAGACAAAGAUUGCAAUGGGAUAAGAGGAUGAGAAAGCUUAUUUUUAUUAGUUUGAAAGCUAGGAUUAAAAUUCAGAAUAACCUGAUAAAUCAAGAAAUAAUAUACUUUGCAUUUGUGUCUUAAGACUUUAUUUCCCAGUGCAGGUCAGAAAAAUAAGGAAAAAAUAACUUACAUAAAAAAUGAGACAGUGAACAUUUUUUUCAAUUAUGACUAGAAAAUCUGUCCAGUCUUAAACAAGUGCAAUGUGAAUAUGAGUUGAAAAUGAAACACUGUAGUUAAAAUAGGAAAAAAAAAUUUUUUGGCCUUUUAGGGCUGCACCUGCAGCAUAUGAAAUUCCCAGGCUAGGUGUUGAAUUGGAGCUGUAGCUGCAGGCCUAUACCACAGCCACAGAAACGCCCAGAUCUGAGCUGGGUCUGCCCACAGCUCAUGGUGGGAUCCUUAAUCCAUUGAACAAAACCAGGGAUUGAUCCCGAAUCCUUAUGGAUACUAGAUGGGUUCAUUACUGCUGACCCACAUAGCAAAUAGUAUACAAUUAAAACUAUAAAUCUUACAUAUAAAUAAUAAAAUAACAAAAAGUUAUAGCUUAUGUUUUCUCCAUUUACUUUAUAAUGUUAAUUUAUAUUUAUUUCCAGCUGGCCCUAUAUGGAAAUCACCAUCCCACCUAUCCCCUACCGCCAUAUAUUAAACUUUUUUCCUGAAAAAUAGCCAGUUUAAUGAGUUCUAUCAAAUGUUGUAUUUUUUUUUUACCCAAAAUGUCAUGAUAAUUUUUCCUUUAAAACCAUGUAGGGAUCAUUGACUCGGUGUUUGUUAUCUUUUUUUAAAAAGUAAAAAAAAAAAAAAGAUUGGUUAACCAGUGUUUUUAGUCAACAAAUGUAUGUUGAUACCUAUUAUGUGCUUGCUGAAAUAGUGAGGAAAAAUAGACAUAGGUGUUGCUCUUCUGAACUUAAGUUCUAGAGUUAGAGAAAAAUAUUAGUCAGAUAUUAAUAUGUAUAAAUGCAAAGUUGGAACUGUUUUCAUUUGCUGUAGAGAAGUACAUGGUUUUUAAUAUGAGGGCUUUUGGAAGGAUAAUUUAAUCAAUUAGUGGGACCACACCAAGGGAAGGGUUUGUUUUUUGUUUGAGAAAGUGUUUAGUUAGCUGAAAUCUUGAUGAAUUUGAGUUACGUUGAUCAAGAGGGAGAAAAAAGUUGGUGGAAGAAAGGAGGAUCUAUGUACAAGAUCCUCAUGUGGGAAGAUUUUAGUACCUAACAUUAAAUGAAAGUCAGAAUGACAGAAGCCAAGGACUAGAGAGUGCAUGGAAAGAGGUUAUGCUAAGGAUUAUGUCGGAGCCAAAUUGCAGGAUAUUGUGGGCCAAGGUUUUUUAUCCUUAGAGUUAUUAUUUAAAUUUAAACUAAUAUUCUUUACACUCUACAAAGACUUACUACUGCAGUUGACCCUUGAGCAGCUUGGGAGUUAGUGAUGCCACUCCUACAAGCAGUCAAAAACCCAAGGAUAAUUUAUAGUUGGCCUUAUUAUCUGAGGUUCCUCUGUGUGGGAAGAUUCAACCAAUUGCAGAUCCCAUAAUACUGUAGUAUUUAUUAUUGGGGAAAAAAAAUCUGGAUUUUUUGGAUACACAUAGUUCAGACUCCUGUUGUUCAAGAGUCAGCUGUACUUGCUCCGGUGGUUGUAUUCUAAGAGUUCAUUUUUCUUUCAGUUUAAGACUUACAGUGCUUUUCCUAUGGAAUCAUUGUUGUAGAGAUCAAGUCUCCUAAAACAUUUUUAACACAGUUAACAGUGGAAGGUAGUGAAUAUUAACAUUGAGCCCUUAAGAAAACUAGGUGGAAGAUAGAAAAGAAAAACAAAAAAGGGGAUUAAAAUUGGUAUCUCUACAUACUCAAGAGAAUGUCCUGAGUGUGACUGACUGAGUUUGAAUAAUAAGGAAAAAAGUCUGCAAGUGUAGGAGGCUAGUGUAGGAGAUCCUAGCAAAUGAUUAUCAUAUUCAGUUGGACAGCUUAAGACCCUCACUUGGUACCUGUAUGAAGCAGUGUGAUAUCCGAAGCAUACCAAGGCAGGGAAAGUAGAAGACAUCAUAUUCACAAAUUCAAUGUUCCAAAUCUAGGAAAUAUUUGUGUCAAUGUUAUUAAAACAUAAAAUUAAAAAAUAUAUUUUAAGUAGAAUUGCAAAAUGGUAAUACAAUGCCAACUGUGUUUUGGUUUUUUUAGAGUAAAAAAGUAAGAAGUUAGAAGAAUUAUAUUUUACUAAGUAACAUUAUCUCAGGCCUUUAUGGUAGCUUUGAGAAUAUUGCUGAAUCUCCCUUGGAGUAGUGCUCAUAUUUAUUUGUUUGUUUUUUGGUUUAUUUUUAGCCACACCCAUGGCAUCUGGAAGUUCAUGGCCAGGGAUCAAAUCUAAGCCUCAGCUGAGGCCUACAUCACAAGCUGUGGCAAUGCCAGAUCCUUAACCCUCUGUGCUGGGCCAGGGAUUGAACUCAUGCUACCACAGAGAUGAGAUGGCAUCCUUAACCUGCUGUGGCACAGCAGGAACUCCUGAAGUAGUACUUUUAAAGACAAAGUUGAAGGAAUUUAAUUUUUAAUCUUAUUUUCCAUUUAACUUAGAACAUCGUCAAUAAGAUAGUUUCAUUUCUUGUUGAUAUUUAAAUUUUAAGCCUCUUUGAACACCAGCUUACAUCUAUAUUAGUAAAUAAUCUAGUUAAUAAAGUUUAUUAAGAAUAUUAUAAAAAGAUGGAUCAGUUACUUGAAUUUUAUCAAGACCAAAAUGU